This 74-nucleotide transfer RNA is filed under the name Miscanthus sinensis (eulalia). RNAcentral's name for it is "transfer RNA-Met". The record is from RNAcentral. Lineage: Eukaryota; Viridiplantae; Streptophyta; Magnoliopsida; Poales; Poaceae.
AAGGGGGGAAACGGAAAUCAAACCCGGGACCUCAGGGUUAUGACCCUCGGGAGCUACCAAACUGCUCUACUCCG